RNAcentral lists this non-coding RNA (28 nucleotides) under Mus musculus (house mouse). Lineage: Eukaryota; Metazoa; Chordata; Mammalia; Rodentia; Muridae. The record is from RNAcentral.
CACCUUAUGAGACAGGUAAGAACCCACA